This 919-nucleotide ribosomal RNA is filed under the name uncultured archaeon. Its description in RNAcentral is "bacterial SSU rRNA". It matches the Rfam family "Archaeal small subunit ribosomal RNA", at positions 1 to 922 of the family's 1478-position model. The record is from RNAcentral.
UUCCGGUUGAUCCUGCCGGAGGCCAUUGCUAUUGGAGUCCGACUUAGCCAUGCUAGUCGCGAGGGUUCAGCCCCUCGGCAAAUAGCUCCGUAACACGUGGUCAAACUACCCAGUGGAGAGCGAUACCCUCGGGAAACUGAGACUAAUAGCUCAUACGUGUUCCGUGCUGGAAUGCUCGAACACCGAAACGCUCCGGCGCCGCUGGAUGUGACUGCGGCCGAUUAGGUAGACGGUGGGGUAACGGCCCACCGUGCCGAUAAUCGGUACGGGUUGUGAGAGCAAGAACCCGGAGACGGAAUCUGAGACAAGAUUCCGGGCCCUACGGGGCGCAGCAGGCGCGAAACCUUUACACUGCACGCCCGUGCGAUAAGGGGACUCCAAGUGCGAGGGCAUACAGUCCUCGCUUUUCUCGACCGUAAGGUGGUCGAGGAAUAAGAGCUGGGCAAGACCGGUGCCAGCCGCCGCGGUAAUACCGGCAGCUCGAGUGAUGGCCGAUCUUAUUGGGCCUAAAGCGUCCGUAGCCGGCCACGACGGUCCGUCGGGAAAUCCAUCCGCUCAACGGAUGGGCGUCCGGCGGAAACCACGUGGCUUGGGGCCAGAAGGCUCAGGGGGUACGUCCGGGGUAGGAGUGAAAUCCCGUAAUCCUGGACGGACCACCGAUGGCGAAAGCACCCUGAGAGGAUGGACCCGACGGUGAGGGACGAAAGCUAGGGUCUCGAACCGGAUUAGAUACCCGGGUAGUCCUAGCCGUAAACGAUGCUCGCUAGGUGUGACACAGGCUACGAGCCUGUGUUGUGCCGUAGGGAAGCCGUGAAGCGAGCCGCCUGGGAAGUACGUCCGCAAGGAUGAAACUUAAAGGAAUUGGCGGGGGAGCACUACAACCGGAGGAGCCUGCGGUUUAAUUGGACUCAACGCCGGU